RNAcentral lists this ribosomal RNA (292 nucleotides) under uncultured bacterium. Its description in RNAcentral is "partial 16S ribosomal RNA". It matches the Rfam family "Bacterial small subunit ribosomal RNA", at positions 505 to 796 of the family's 1533-position model. The record is from RNAcentral.
GUGUCAGCAGCCGCGGUAAAACGUAGGAGGCAAGCGUUAUCCGGAUUUACUGGGCGUAAAGGGCGUGCAGGUGGUUUGUUAAGUGGUGCGUGAAAGCGCUCGGCUCAACCGGGCGAGGCCGUGCCAAACUGACAGACUGGAAACAGGCAGAGGAAAGUGGAAUUCGGGGUGUAGUGGUGAAAUGCGUAGAGAUCCCGAGGAACUCCAGUGGCGAAGGCGACUUUCUGGGCCUGCUUUGACACUCAGACGCGAAAGCAUGGGGAGCGAACGGGAUUAGAAACCCUGGUAGUCC